RNAcentral lists this ribosomal RNA (372 nucleotides) under uncultured soil bacterium. RNAcentral describes it as "bacterial SSU rRNA". It matches the Rfam family "Bacterial small subunit ribosomal RNA", at positions 26 to 386 of the family's 1533-position model. The record is from RNAcentral.
AGAUUGAACGCUAGCGGGAUGCUUUACACAUGCAAGUCGAACGGCAGCGCGGACUUCGGUCUGGCGGCGAGUGGCGAACGGGUGAGUAAUAUAUCGGAACGUGCCCAGUAGCGGGGGAUAACUACGCGAAAGCGUGGCUAAUACCGCAUACGCCCGUACGGGGGAAAGGGGGGGAUUCGUUCGGAACCUCUCACUAUUGGGAGCGGCCGAUAUCAGAUUAGCUAGUUGGUGAGGUAAAGGCUCACCAAGGCGACGAUCUGUAGCUGGUUUGAGGGGACGACCAGCCACACUGGGACUGAGACACGGACCCAGACCUCCGUACGGGAGGCAGCAGGUGGGGUAAUUUAGGACGAAGUACGGGGGAAACCCUGA